This is a non-coding RNA of Piliocolobus tephrosceles (Ugandan red Colobus), 491 nucleotides long. The record is from the annotation of a RefSeq genome assembly. NCBI's taxonomy places the organism in Eukaryota, Metazoa, Chordata, Mammalia, Primates, Cercopithecidae.
AUGGACAGGACCUACAGGCUCCUCUUCUUGGUGGCAGCAGCCACAGGUGCCCAAUCCCAGGUGCAGCUGGUGCAGUUUGGGCCUGAGGUGAAGCAGCCUGCGGCCUCACUGAAGGUCUUCUGCAAGGCUUCUGGUUACAGCUUUACAACCUAUGGUAUGAAUUGGGUGAGACAGGUCCCUGAAGAAGGGCUUGAGUGGAUGCGAUGGAUGAACACCAACACUGGGAACCCAAUGUAUGCCCAGGGCCAAACAGGACAGUUUGUCUUCUCCACGGACACCUCUGUCAGCACAGUGCAUCUGCAGAUCAGCAGACUAAAGCCUGAGGACACUGCUGUGUAUUACUGUAUGGGAGACACAGUGUGGAAACCCACAUCCUGAGAGAGUCAGAAGCCCUGAGGGAAGAGGUAGCUGUGCUGAGCUGAGGCAGUGGUGCAGCAGUUUCUUUAUCUUCCAUAUGAUCUCAUUUUGCAUCAACUUCCACUGUGAUAUUA